This 1843-nucleotide long non-coding RNA is filed under the name Neodiprion pinetum (white pine sawfly). RNAcentral describes it as "uncharacterized LOC124222845". Lineage: Eukaryota; Metazoa; Arthropoda; Insecta; Hymenoptera; Diprionidae. The record is from RNAcentral.
CGUGAAGAACAAGAACGUGAACGUGAACGUGAACUGUCCACUUGACUUCUCUUCUCUCUCCUCUUUUUCGAGGUGUCGCGUUUCGUGCGGUGAUAUAAAAACGACAGUAGCCCUCAUCCUCGACCGAAUUCACAGCCGUUAUUUUCCUACACCAAAAUCUCAACUCUACUACUAAAGUCUAAAAACUUGAAUUCAGAAGACCAUCUAUGUUACACUAUGUAGUCGGAGUUUCUUUUCCUUAAUCUUUUCAGUAUAAAUUUCGUGAUUAGGCUCAUUUAACGUUUCAUAACAGGAAGUAAUAGAGUGAUUUUCGAAUCGAUUCUACUGAACUCCAAAUAUCAAGCACACAAACACAACGACUUGGUAUUCAAUAUUGUUCAAUGUUCAACUUUAACCUGUGACUACAAGUUGUAUAGAUGAUCUUGAAACAUUUGAAUGUCGAGUUAUUACAAGUUUCAAGUUUUUUAAAGUAAGGAGUCGAGAUUAGGGUCUGAGGAAGGACCACGAAUUCGACCGAGAGACGCGGGAAGAGAACGAGACGCGUACGCGCCGGCCGACGGCCAUAAACUUGACUCGAUGCUGCUCUCUUCUCGAAACCAACACCGACACCGACACACACUGACUCUGGUUACAGAAACUCGGUCCCGGCACAAAGAACGCGCGACAGUGUUGCCAACACACGAUCUUUCAAACGUCGCUGACCGUGCACAGCACCGUAUGCUUCCCAGGGACGUAAUGUUAGGUCCCAGAGCCCGGACCCCGAUUUUGUAGUAUAAAAACUCGGCGAAUUACCCUAUAAACUGGACGGUACUGAAAAUUUCAAGAAAUUUUCUUCCACGAUGCUCGGACCUUUCGGCAGUCGUUUACGAUAUUACAACACUUGUGACUGCCGUAAUGUAGAAUACUAAAGGAGCGGAAUUAACAGCUCGACGAAUUAACGUGGUAUCGUCUGUUUCAAUUUGCAUAAUCAACGAAUCGAGUAAAGUUCAUCUAAUAGAAAGAUCGGCUGAAUUGAUAAUCAAACUUUCCAAAAAUUAUCCGACAAUAUAUUCCAACUAGAGAAUCAAAAAAAUUGACGUCAAAAUCAAGGUUGGAGUAGGUUCAUUUCCCCAUAGCAAAAAAGACAAACAAAGAGAUCGCGAGUUUGGAUAAACAAUGUUGUAUGAAAUUACGCAGGUCCAGAAUAAUGCGAAAACCAGGUACGAUGUAAAUCGUAUCGCGUGCUUUUAAUAAUGUACAAUCAUUUUUCGCCGAUCGGAAGCGCGGCGCGUUUUAGCGAGAGACGAACACAUGCCAAUCCGCAUUUCCUUGGAGAUUCAUAUAUAUACGUGUCGUUCUCUGUCUGACGGGUUUGAAAAAAAUCGAAUCCGAAAAGCCGUUGGAACGAACCGGACUUUGAUUCGAGAAUUCACGAUGCGUACUCCGAGCGGCCGACAAACAGGCGGCUCGAUAUUCCGUUACCUCCAACGUUUCCGCGGCAAGGCAUGUAUUAUACCCGAGUAAGGAAUUUCCUCUCGCUGCCAGCUCGAAAUUUUCGUCAAAUUACGAAGCGGCGCGCGUUCGCCUGACGUAAGCUUGGCAACGGCGCUUUCAUCAAACUGCCUAACGCUCUGCUCGGUUCCUGCUCUUCUACCACCACCGGCUGCAUCGGUCGGCUAGCCGUCAGGAUCGGGAGGAGAGGCGGUUUCACGGAACAAGAGGAGAGGUAGAAAAGAGACGAGAGAAAAGUGGGGAAUGAAAGAGAGAAAAAGAGACAGACACAAAGCCGGAUAGGAACCUUGGGAGAUUCGAAAUAUUUCCAAAAUUCGCCGGAGGGAAAAAGUGGAAUGGAAAAAAAAAAACC